Molecule: ribosomal RNA, 804 nt
Filed under: uncultured Cyphobasidiales
Lineage: Eukaryota; Fungi; Basidiomycota; Cystobasidiomycetes; Cyphobasidiales
Description: SSU rRNA
Rfam family: Eukaryotic small subunit ribosomal RNA
Source: RNAcentral
AGUGACAAUAAAUAACAAUAUAGGGCUCUUUUGGGUCUUAUAAUUGGAAUGAGUACAAUUUAAAUCCCUUAACGAGGAUCAAUUGGAGGGCAAGUCUGGUGCCAGCAGCCGCGGUAAUUCCAGCUCCAAUAGCGUAUAUUAAAGUUGUUGCCGUUAAAAAGCUCGUAGUCGAACUUCGGCCUCUGCCGCCCGGUCCGCCUAUUUGGGUGUGUACUGGAGCGGUGGAGGCUUACCUCGUGGUGAGCAAUCAUACCCUUCACUGGGCGUGGUUGGGAACCAUGAUUUUUACUUUGAAAAAAUUAGAGUGUUCAAAGCAGGCUUACGCCCGAAUACAUUAGCAUGGAAUAAUAAAAUAGGACGUGCGGUUCUAUUUUGUUGGUUUCUAGGAUCGCCGUAAUGAUUAAUAGGGAUAGUUGGGGGCAUUCGUAUUCAAUUGCUAGAGGUGAAAUUCUUGGAUUUAUUGAAGACGAACUACUGCGAAAGCAUUUGCCAAGGAUGUUUUCAUUGAUCAAGAACGAAGGUUAGGGGAUCGAAAACGAUCAGAUACCGUUGUAGUCUUAACAGUAAACGAUGCCGACUAGGGAUCGGACGAGGAUUUUUAAUGACUCGUUCGGCACCUGAAGAGAAAUCUUUAAGUCUAGGUUCGGGGGGGAGUAUGGUCGCAAGGCUGAAACUUAAAGGAAUUGACGGAAGGGCACCACCAGGUGUGGAGCCUGCGGCUUAAUUUGACUCAACACGGGGAAACUCACCAGGUCCAGACACGACAAGGAUUGACAGAUUGAUAGCUCUUUCUUGAUUUCGUGG